ACUCAAAUGAAUUGACGGGGGCCCGCACAAGCGGUGGAGCAUGUGGUUCAAUUCGACGCAACGCGCAGAACCUUACCUGGGUUGGAACCCCCUGGAAGUCCGCAGAGAUGUGGAUGUGCUCGCAAGAGAACCAGGUGUCCAGGUGCUGCAUGGCUGUCGUCAGCUCGUGUCGUGAGAUGUUGGGUUAAGUCCCGCAACGAGCGCAACCCUCGUCGUUAGUUGCUAACAGUUCGGCUGAGCACUCUAGCGAGACUGCCGGUGUUAAACCGGAGGAAGGUGGGGAUGACGUCAAGUCCUCAUGGCCCUUAUGCCCAGGGCUACACACGUGCUACAAUGGCCGGUACAGAGCGUAGCGAACUCGUGAGGGGGAGCCAAUCGCAAAAAACCGGCCUCAGUUCAGAUUGCAGUCUGCAACUCGACUGCAUGAAGUUGGAAUCGCUAGUAAUCCCUAAUCAGCAGGUAGGGGUGAAUACGUUCCCGGGCCUUGUACACACCGCCCGU
RNAcentral lists this ribosomal RNA (501 nucleotides) under uncultured bacterium. Its description in RNAcentral is "partial 16S ribosomal RNA". It matches the Rfam family "Bacterial small subunit ribosomal RNA", at positions 899 to 1397 of the family's 1533-position model. The record is from RNAcentral.